UACGUAGGGUGCGAGCGUUGUCCGGAAUUAUUGGGCGUAAAGAGCUCGUAGGCGGCUUGUCGCGUCGGAUGUGAAAGCCCGGGGCUUAACUCCGGGUCUGCAUUCGAUACGGGCAGGCUAGAGUUCGGUAGGGGAGAUCGGAAUUCCUGGUGUAGCGGUGAAAUGCGCAGAUAUCAGGAGGAACACCAACGGCGAAGGCAGCUCUCUGGGACGUUACUGACGCUGAGACGCGAAAGCGUGGGGAGCAAACAGG
This 253-nucleotide ribosomal RNA is filed under the name uncultured bacterium. Its description in RNAcentral is "partial 16S ribosomal RNA". It matches the Rfam family "Bacterial small subunit ribosomal RNA", at positions 524 to 776 of the family's 1533-position model. The record is from RNAcentral.